CCUACGGGUGGCUGCAGUGGGGAAUAUUGGACAAUGGGGGCAACCCUGAUCCAGCCAUGCCGCGUGUGUGAAGAAGGCCCUCGGGUUGUAAAGCACUUUCAGUGAGGAAGAACGCCUGGUGGUUAAUACCCAUCAGGAAAGACAUCACUCACAGAAGAAGCACCGGCUAACUCCGUGCCAGCAGCCGCGGUAAUACGGAGGGUGCGAGCGUUAAUCGGAAUUACUGGGCGUAAAGCGCGCGUAGGUGGCUUGAUAAGCCGGUUGUGAAAGCCCCGGGCUCAACCUGGGAACGGCAUCCGGAACUGUCAAGCUAGAGUGCAGGAGAGGAAGGUAGAAUUCCCGGUGUAGCGGUGAAAUGCGUAGAGAUCGGGAGGAAUACCAGUGGCGAAGGCGGCCUUCUGGAAUGACACUGACACUGAGGUGCGAAAGCGUGGGUAGCAAACAGGAUUAGAUACCCGUGUAGUC
RNAcentral lists this ribosomal RNA (465 nucleotides) under Vreelandella stevensii. RNAcentral describes it as "partial 16S ribosomal RNA". It matches the Rfam family "Bacterial small subunit ribosomal RNA", at positions 338 to 795 of the family's 1533-position model. The record is from RNAcentral. Lineage: Bacteria; Pseudomonadati; Pseudomonadota; Gammaproteobacteria; Oceanospirillales; Halomonadaceae.